This 253-nucleotide ribosomal RNA is filed under the name uncultured bacterium. Its description in RNAcentral is "partial 16S ribosomal RNA". It matches the Rfam family "Bacterial small subunit ribosomal RNA", at positions 524 to 776 of the family's 1533-position model. The record is from RNAcentral.
UACGGAGGAUUCGAGCGUUAUCCGGAUUUAUUGGGUUUAAAGGGUCCGUAGGCGGCACAAUAAGUCAGAGGUGAAAGGCCACCGCUUAACGGUGGGACUGCCUUUGAUACUGUUGAGCUAGAAUUUGGUUGAGGUUGGCGGAAUGCGGCAUGUAGCGGUGAAAUGCAUAGAUAUGCCGUAGAACACCAAUUGCGAAGGCAGCUGACUGGACCAUAAUUGACGCUGAGGCACGAAAGCGUGGGGAGCGAACAGG